ACACGGGGGGCGCAAGCGUUAUUCGGAAUUAUUGGGUUUAAAGGGUGCGCAGGCGGCCUUAUAAGUCAGUGGUGAAAUCUCCCGGCUCAACCGGGAAACUGCCAUUGAUACUGUAAGGCUAGAAUACAGACGAGGUAGGCGGAAUGUAGCAUGUAGCGGUGAAAUGCUUAGAUAUGCUACAGAACACCGAUCGCGAAGGCAGCUUACCAGACUGUAAUUGACGCUAAGGCACGAAAGCGUGGGGAGCGAACAGGAUUAGAAACCCCGGUAGUCC
Molecule: ribosomal RNA, 274 nt
Filed under: uncultured bacterium
Lineage: Bacteria
Description: partial 16S ribosomal RNA
Rfam family: Bacterial small subunit ribosomal RNA
Source: RNAcentral